ACUCAUCAAAGCCCAAGUAUGCUUUCCCAACAUGGCCACAUGCAUUGGCCUCCCUUGUUGUUCGGACCCCUAAAGCUCCAUCCUUCUUAGAUUGUCUAACAGUUUGCCAGUUCACCCAAUUAGAUGAGGGUUUCCCAUGAAGCCAUGGGUUGCUUUGUCAAUAGAAUCACAAAUCUCUUGUGGUAACCAAAUGUUCUACAUAGUGUAAAUCGGGAUUAAGUUCAACGCAAACUUGGCUAGAGUGGCUCUACUUGCCCUAUUAAGAAGUCUCGCUUUCCAUCCUGCUAAUCUUGAAUUUCUCCGGUCUAUUAAAAAGGUAAAAUCAGCUUUCUUCACCCACCCAGACAACAACAGAGGGAAACCCAAAUAUUGGCUAAUAUUUGUUGAAUUAGUAAAACCAAGAAUAUUGGCAAAGUUAGGCAACUUUCUUACCCAUAUUCUUCGAGGUGACGAACUUAGAUUUCUGGAUAUUCACCCUAAGCUCGGAGGCUUUACAGAACAUAUCCAAAAGUCUAUUGCAUGAUACAUGAUAAUUAUUAUGCAUACUUGAUUUCUUCACUUAAAUUACAUAAUAAUUAUCUCAUUUCUUCUCUUUUAAUGUUCUGUUUGAUCCAAAAAGAUAGGAAUUUAAGUUAUUUUGGAUAUUAGCUUAAGAAAGUUAAAAUUAGUGAAAUUUACUGUGUUUAGCUUUAUUUUUUAGAGUUACACAAGAACAAAGGACAGAAAGAUAUAUGAAGAACUGAAACAACUUGCUUAGCGCGAGAAACUUACAUGGGAGAACGCAUGUAAGCAUCUGGUGGUUUCUCAAGUCAAUUAUACUAUGCAUGUACGCUCAAUGCACAAUGCACACAUGUAGACUUAGCGCGUUGUCACUUAAGUCAGUUGUAUUGUGUAUGUGGGCUCAGUACACACAUAUAGGCUUAGCACAUGAUGACUUUCUGAAAAAUAUGAUGGUACAACAUUCUGAGGUGGUUUUAAAAAGAAGGACAUUCUUCCAUUGGGGGAGUCAUACGAGGGCAGGAGAUAAAAUCCACUUUGGGAGGUUUCCUUCUUUCAUGUUCUCCAUUUUCUUUGUUCUUCUUAUUUUGGGUCUUUCAUGGUCAUGAGAGACUAACUUACCCAUUGUUGAAAGCUUGUAUAUCAAAAACUCGG
This 1152-nucleotide long non-coding RNA is filed under the name Glycine max (soybean). RNAcentral describes it as "long non-coding RNA (GMAX_LNC002931)". Lineage: Eukaryota; Viridiplantae; Streptophyta; Magnoliopsida; Fabales; Fabaceae. The record is from RNAcentral.